RNAcentral lists this ribosomal RNA (380 nucleotides) under uncultured organism. RNAcentral's name for it is "bacterial LSU rRNA". It matches the Rfam family "Bacterial large subunit ribosomal RNA", at positions 2105 to 2489 of the family's 2925-position model. The record is from RNAcentral.
CACAUCCUGCGAUGAUCUGGUCUUUCUUGCGCAGAAUAGGUGGGAGGCUUUGAGAAGAUCUUGUGGGAUCUUUGGAGCCAAUCGUGAGAUACCACUCUUUUAAAGCUCGGAUUCUCACUCUCUACCGUAAUCCGGGGAGAGGACACUCCCAGGUGGGCAGUUUGACUGGGGCGGUCGCCUCCUAAAAGGUAACGGAGGCGCACAAAGGUUUCCUCACAUCGGAUAGAAAUCGAUCGAAGAGUGUAAAGGCAAAAGGAAGCUUGACUGCGAGACGUACAAGUCAAGCAGAGACGAAAGUCGGUCUUAGUGAUCCGACGAUCCUGAGUGGAAAGGUCGUCGCUCAACGGAUAAAAGUUACUCUAGGGAUACAGGCUGAAAAA